UGGAAGUCUUUGGGUCGGAUUAUUGGGUUUUCAAACACACCAACCUACAUCAUAUAUAAAUGUUCUAAAAACCUAAAUCUCUCAUUCUUCUCCUUCACGCCGCUUUGUGGAUGCUCAUACGUGGAUGCUCAUACACUCUUUAUAAUCCAGCAAUCUCUGCAGUUAAUCGAUUCAAUCCCUUGGCGUUUUAAAUCACAUUGGAGAGACGUCUAAAAUUACAUUGGGAUUUCGCUCUUUAACAUAGAGAAUCAAUAGUUCAAUGUUGACGAUAACAUGGUUAACCGAUUUGUUUAGGUGAAGUUAGAACAAGUUAUGCAAGUAUUAAAAAUUUCAAAGAGGAGUCUAGCAAGCAGUGCAUAUUAGACAAUUUUGAUUUCUAUGAAGAUCGUCAACGAAGAAUUCUAUAAAAGAAAGAAAAUAUAGCGGUUUCAGAAACAGAUGUGGGAAGGAAAACUAAAAGAGGAGAUUAUAGUGGAUAUUGUACCACCAAAAUCAUCUAAAACAGAGGUCCGAAGGUAGUACAAAAGAUGGCGAAACAUGCUGCUUAAUUAUUGGCAAUGGUAUGCAUGCUGAUGGGGUGUUGUUGAGCAGGCUUUGUAUAGGGAACGAGGCGUUGCGUAUUGUUAAUGAAGAGGGUGUUAGAGCCUUUUGGAAAGGGAAUAUGGUUACUAUUGCUCAUCGUCUUUCUUAUGCUGCUAUUAACUUCUACGCGUAUCAAAUAACUUUUAAUCAUCUAUCUUCAAUGCUUUCUUUGUCUACUCCACCUUCGCAGAUUGCUAAAAUUGCCGCUGAUUUUAUUUUCGAUUUGAUUAGUUCAUAGGGUGGAAUUCUUUGUUUGAUUGGUAACGUUGUGGGUAACGAGUAUAAAUCUCUAUAUAACUUAAGGUUAUGGUCCCUUUCUUGUUUUUUGUAUAGUUAAACUUGGUUGGUAUCAUCUAUGAGUAAGUUUGCAAAUGAGGUUAGUUGUGUAUCAUAUCUCCAAAACCAUCCAGUUCUUUAUUUUUUUGGUUUUAGAAAAACUUUAUGUAUUUGCUUUGAAAUAGGAAGUUCCGGAAGUUAGUGACGAAAAUUGGUUAUGUGACUACUGGUUUACAAAAAGAUGAGGACGUUGUUGUGUUAGGAAAAUCAAGCCAACAUUGAACAAGUCAUCAUCUUACAUCUCGACAGAUAUCCAAUGGAAAUACACCAUUUUCCAAGUUUCCCUUAUAUAUAUGCACAGCUGCACACACACUUAAUGUCAAAAUUACCCAUUGUUAGUAUGUAAAUAAGGAUAAAUUAACGGUCUUCGUAAGCUGUUGAAACUGUCAAAGCAAGGCAAGUCAGCCAGUUUGAGAUUUAUACCGAUCGGAUAAGGAUUAGUUUUGAUGAUUUGUAACUUUAUUUGGGUUUGAUGAUUUUUUUAGGGUUCAUGGUUAUUUUGAUGAGUCGAAACAAGUAAAGAACUAAUGUUUAUUUCAUUACGAACCUUUUCUUUAUUCAAUCUAAUUGUUGAACGUUCGUAUUAUGUUCUCUCGAAUUUGAUGGAUUUUCUAAUGUGCUUUUAUAAAUAUUUUAUCUAACCAAAUUCUAAAGUUUUGGAAUGUGAUAGUGGAUUAUGGGAUGAAACAACUAGCAAUGCAAAUGGUCAGUUUCAUAAUAAAUUCUUUCAUGAUCAGUUUAACAAAGUGAUUCACCUCAAAUUUAUCAUUGUAUACAUUAGAUCUGAAAUUCGUGUUUAUAUUAAUCGUGUUCCUAUGUGUUUGCUUCUCUUUUUGGGGGAGAAAAUCAAAUGGGUAUAUCAAAAUUAGGGUUCUUUGGUUCUUUGAAAUCAUUAUGUUUGAAGGUUUUAGGUGUAUUUGUAGAAUUUGAGGUUUCUUGAAUUAUGUUUUCAAACUAUAGUAAAGCUAAUUUUUGGUGUUUGGAUAUGCAUUUUGAAAGGAUUUUGUAAUGCUUUUAUAAUCACUGUUUUGAUAUUGGUUAACCUUUUUUCUAUUUGCAGAUUUUAUAUUGGGAGAGAGAGAGAGAAAAGUAGAUGUCGUGACAAGGGUUGAGACGGGGGAGAAUCGCCGGUUUUCCGGCGACUACAACAACAUCCUCCUCCCUUGAUCUCAACAACAAAGAGACUAAAGCUAGUAAGUUUCGGAGGCGAAGAUUAAGCAGGACGUUAACACGAUCGACUUAGGUAUUCAGAUGAUCACUGAUCAGGUCUCUACCAGUGGUGACGUGGAGGUUGAACUCAGGAAGAUGUAAAAGAGAAUUCGGGCAGAUCUGGUUACGAAAACAGACGGAUUUAUGAAUGAGACGCCGGCUGCUGUAUGAGACGGAUUUAGGGGGACACACCGACGUUAGGUAGGGAAGGAUGCGUAAACACACAGUGGCAUCUGACGGCUUUCUUCGUUGGAUUUCGAAUAUGGUUUCGGUUUCACCUUCAAACUAAGGUUUUCUUUUCUUCAUUGAUUUUAGUUUAUUCACAUUUAAUCUAAAUCGGAGUUGCUUACACUUCAGUCAAUCAGCUGUGGCCCUACCAUGUCGAUUACGUCAAGAUAGUUAUUCAUCACUAACAAGUGGUGAAAUUCUAUUAAGAAGAACCGCAUCCCCGACAUCAAUCCGACCAUUGAACACAUUAAUGUAUUUCUAAGAUCUCAUAAAUAGUUUAUUGUAACAAAUGCAUUCCGACAGGAUAAAUAUGGAGGAAAAAGUGCAAUGCCAACAUGAAUGGGUUAAGUUGUAUUCUGUUAUGCCCCAAGUAAAGGUAGAACGGGCCAUGCGGCUCUUUAGGUAAAGCCACAUGCAAGGGCGGACCCACCUUGUACGGGUCGAGUUCAUGGGAACCGAUUGAUUAUACAAAAAAUAAGUAGAGGCGAUGAUCAAUUCAUCGAGUGACUUCACUUUGUUUUGUCUCUGAAUUUUACUUGAUCUAUAUUAUCUCAUAUUUACAUUUGCUGUUAUAGUUUGAGUGUGAAUGUUGUGUGUAGAGAUUCUAAGUGAUAUUACAGAAUUAAACUCUCU
Molecule: long non-coding RNA, 2988 nt
Filed under: Helianthus annuus (common sunflower)
Lineage: Eukaryota; Viridiplantae; Streptophyta; Magnoliopsida; Asterales; Asteraceae
Description: hypothetical non coding rna
Source: RNAcentral